This 482-nucleotide ribosomal RNA is filed under the name uncultured bacterium. RNAcentral describes it as "partial 16S ribosomal RNA". It matches the Rfam family "Bacterial small subunit ribosomal RNA", at positions 30 to 507 of the family's 1533-position model. The record is from RNAcentral.
AUUGAACGCUGGCGGCAUGCUUUACACAUGCAAGUCGAACGGUAACAGGCCGCAAGGUGCUGACGAGUGGCGAACGGGUGAGUAAUGCAUCGGAACGUGCCCAGUCGUGGGGGAUAACUACUCGAAAGAGUAGCUAAUACCGCAUACGAUCUAUGGAUGAAAGCGGGGGACCGUAAGGCCUCGCGCGAUUGGAGCGGCCGAUGUCAGAUUAGGUAGUUGGUGGGGUAAAGGCUCACCAAGCCAACGAUCUGUAGCUGGUCUGAGAGGACGACCAGCCACACUGGGACUGAUACACGGCCCAGACUCCUACGGGAGGCAGCCGUGGGGAAUUUUGGACAAUGGGCGCAAGCCUGAUCCAGCAAUGCCGCGUGCAGGAAGAAGGCCUUCGGGUUGUAAACUGCUUUUGUACGGAACGAAACGGCUCUGGUUAAUACCCGGGGCUAAUGACGGUACCAUAAGAAUAAGCACCGGCUAACUACGUG